AAACUUUCAACAAUGGAUCUCUUGGUUCUCGCAUCGAUGAAGAACGCAGCGAAAUGCGAUAAGUAAUGUGAAUUGCAGAAUUCCGUGAAUCAUCAAAUUUUUGAACGCCAAUUGCACUUCUCGGUAUUCCGAGAAGUACACCUGCUUGAGGGUCAGUUAAAAAAUAU
This 167-nucleotide ribosomal RNA is filed under the name Racocetra fulgida. Its description in RNAcentral is "5.8S ribosomal RNA". It matches the Rfam family "5.8S ribosomal RNA". From Rfam's summary of the family: 5.8S ribosomal RNA (5.8S rRNA) is a component of the large subunit of the eukaryotic ribosome. It is transcribed by RNA polymerase I as part of the 45S precursor that also contains 18S and 28S rRNA. Functionally, it is thought that 5.8S rRNA may be involved in ribosome translocation. The record is from RNAcentral. Lineage: Eukaryota; Fungi; Glomeromycota; Glomeromycetes; Diversisporales; Gigasporaceae.